RNAcentral lists this unclassified non-coding RNA (163 nucleotides) under uncultured Nemania. Its description in RNAcentral is "partial internal transcribed spacer 2". Lineage: Eukaryota; Fungi; Ascomycota; Sordariomycetes; Xylariales; Xylariaceae. The record is from RNAcentral.
CAACCCUUAAGCCCCUGUUGCUUAGCGUUAGGAGCCUACCGGAACUCUCUGGUAGCUCCCCAAAGUCAGUGGCGGAGCCGGUUCGCACUCCAGACGUAGUAGCUUUUACACGUCGCCUGUAGCGCGGGCCGGUCCCCUGCCGUAAAACACCCCAAUUUUUAUA